ACCAGGAGACUACAGAGAACACUCCUGCUCUGUGUUGGCACUGGAUGGGUCUUUGGUAUCUAUCUGGAGAAGGCGCGUAGGGCCUGGGUUUAAUUUCACAUGCAAUAGACAGUAUCUUUGACAAUGCAGCAUUCCCUCAGGACCGUACUUGAGAUGCUGCCAGACCUGCUGCGCUGUUCCAGCAACGUCGUUAGUGUUGUGAAAAUAUAUAACUAUGAAAGUAUGGCUGUAGUGAUGAGAGAUUUUUUUUGCUUCAAAUUGUCAAUAUUCCAGAAUGCAGAGCUGUGUUGAACGAGUUGCUGAACUGGGAAACUACCAUCCCAGGUGAAUGCAAAAGAUCCCAUUAAACUGUUGGAAGAAGAAUGGAGAAGCUUUGUCCAGCCAUUCACCACACCUCAUCCAUUAAUGAACGUUGCAUUGCUCUUUGUAGGAGCUUGCUGUGCUCAAACUGGCUGCACUGCCAAAGUACCAACUGGCUGUAAAGAGCUGUGGGAAAUCCUGAGUUUGUGAAAGGUGCUAUAUAAAUGCAAGCCUUUCUUCUCACACUGAGAACCUAAUAAUUUUGUGAUUAAACUGCACAUUCAGUUGACAUUUGAAGACUUUUAAUUAAAUAAUUGGAAGAUAUUCUUUAGUUAUUAACUAAUAACUGAAUUGUAUUUUGAGAGAGCUAUUGCUGGGAAUUAAAUCUCCUCAGCCAUAGAUGCCACAGUGAACUGAAAUUUAAAAAACUGAAUGUGAAAUGUAUUGAUUUUAUGUCCAAAUUGAAUUUUUAAAAAUAUAAUGUUGCAACAAACAUAACUCAAGGCCAUUCCUAGCUUCUGGGCUUAUCAGUGAAUAUGGACCAAAACAUCUUUCAUUAUUGAACUUCUAAUUAUUGAUCUUCCCCGAAGGCUACAUAAGAACAGGCUGAUACCAUUCAAUCUCUCAAGCUGUUUUUGGGUUCAAUUACAUCAUGACUGAUUAGUAUUUCAACUCCAUUCCAUUGACUUGAUGUUAUAAUGUUUAAUACUAUUUCCUAAUAAAAAUGUCAAUCUCAAUGUUGAAUUUUUCAAUUAACCCCUAAGCUCCACCCUUUUUUUCAGGAUGCUCUGGAUUUCAAUUACCCUUUCUGUGUAGAAUGGUUUGAGCUGAUCAAUCCUCAUGGGUUUGUCAACAUGAGUUUUGGGACUCAGGGUUGUGUGUUUAGAGAAUUUUCCAAUAGGCUAUACAGUCUGCACUCUAAUGGACUCUGUUCUCAUUCACUGUGAUUUCGAAGUAUGUAUUGUCUAAUUCUCUGGAGCUCUGGCAAUUUCUUUUAC
Long non-coding RNA from Stegostoma tigrinum, 1298 nucleotides. RefSeq lists it as uncharacterized. The transcript has 3 exons. The record is from RefSeq and is a predicted model, not a curated record. NCBI's taxonomy places the organism in Eukaryota, Metazoa, Chordata, Chondrichthyes, Orectolobiformes, Stegostomatidae.